CCUCAAUGAGUUGUUUUAGAGACAAUCCCAGUAGGGAGUUUAGAAUAUGUGUGCUCCUGGCACAAGCAGCUAUUUUGGUUUUCCAAUUCACAUCAGGAAGAUUAAAGUCACCCAUGAUGAUAACUUCCCCCUUCAUUGUCAUUUUAGCUAUUUCCUCAACUAGUAGAUUAUCCAACUCUUCUAUUUGUCCAGGGGGCCUGUAAAUCACACCUACACGAGUUACUGUGUGAUCUCCAAAUUCUAACGUCACCCAAAAGGGC
Molecule: non-coding RNA, 260 nt
Organism: Pelobates cultripes (western spadefoot toad)
Lineage: Eukaryota; Metazoa; Chordata; Amphibia; Anura; Pelobatidae
Source: the annotation of a GenBank genome assembly